Canis lupus familiaris (dog) is the source of this 3297-nucleotide long non-coding RNA. RefSeq lists it as uncharacterized. The transcript is spliced from 5 exons. The record is from RefSeq and is a predicted model, not a curated record. Lineage: Eukaryota; Metazoa; Chordata; Mammalia; Carnivora; Canidae.
CUGGCCCCCGGGCCCUGCUAAGGAGCCUGGACGCAGCCCUCUGCUCCGAGGAGCAAUAUUCCUGGCCAGACAUGAAAGGAGAGAUUAUAACAGCCCAUUUUCUGCAGGCAGCUUAUCCUGAGGCAUUUUACAUAAUUAAAAGGAGCUCUGUGACAAAUCGCACCACCCAGUACACCCGUGACAGACAUCUCUGAAUUGCCUGGGGGGAUGAGCCGGUUCCUCAGUGAUGGGUUUUCCCGGCUCGGCGGCGUGGAGGCGAAGGCCGCGUCUGCAGACUUCACGGGGAACUGCGGCCCCUCCUUGACCUCCCUGCUGUCGGGGUCCCCGAUGGUUGAAUGAGCGGCCCUGUGAUGUGUCAGGACCUUCCCUGAGAGACCCAAAGGGAGCCAUUCAUUAGGACGGCGCUUGAGCCUAAAGCUGACCUGCCCCGUCUGAAGGCAGAUCGCCCAUGAAAGCCCCCGGCGUUACUUUAUUCCUGGAAUCUUAAUUACAAGGCAGCACCAGGACGGAUGUAUUAAGUAGCUUCAAUUCAUCCCGGCCCGCGGCCCCGAUGCGAUGGCGCCCCGAAGGCUUGGUGGCAGAUAACCGCUGAUGCGGAAGCGAGUUCCAGCGUUUAUGUUUGUGAGAUUUGGCCGCAUCCUCGCGCGUCGUGCUAGAGCGUUCCUUCCCGUUUUCACACCGCGAUCCAUUGUGUGGCUGUGCCCCAGCGGGCCUCUGCUGCCAACGACGAGGAGCUACUAGUUUCUACUUUGGGGCCGAACAAAUACUGCUGCUGGGAACAUUCUAGUUCGUGCUUUUUGUCGAACGUCUGUGAGCCUUUCUGCUUGAGAACGCGCCUGGGAGCCUGCGAGGACCUACUUCAGCUGUAAGGGGUGGACUCAGCCGCGGAGGCUGUGCCCAUGACACCCUGCCUGUGGGGAAUGACUUGUGUCUGCGGCACCACGACUUGGCCGACGUUGGGUGUUUUCGUGCUAGACCUUUCCAUUGCGAUCGCCUCCUCUGUUCCCUCCCCUCUCCUCCUCUCGCUUUGCCUUCACAAACAUGGCCAUUUUGCUUUUGACAAAGGUGUGAAAGCAAUUCAGUGAAGAAGGAGUAGUCUGUUCAACAAAUGGUGUUUGAACAACGGGACUUCAGUAUGUGAAAAAAGAGAGAGAGAGAGAGAGAAAGAAAAUGAAUCUUGACCUUAACUUUUCUUGUAUGCUGCUUGCCUGUGUGCGUUCUUUUCAAACGAGAACGUGUGUUCUUUUCAAAAGUGCUUUCCACUUUUCAAUUAUAAAAAUCGUGUUAGCAACGGAGUCUCAGUAGAGUCCCCAAAGCAGAGCUCAUGGGGCUACUUUCUCCGACUUCAGUGAAAAACAAUCAGAAAUUAGUAUAAAAAGAACUUGAGCUCCCAGAGGCAGAGGGUUUCUUUGGUGUUCCGCAGCUGUGUCCCUAGAGUCUAGAAUAGUGCUGGAGACCUGUUUUUGAAUUAAUGAAAAAUAUAAGCAAGCAUAUCAGUUAGAAUGCAUUCAACAGAAAUUAGCAGAGGACCUAAGGAAGGACAUUUAUUGUUCUUUGAGUGUCUAGAGGUGGGUUUUCCAGACUCCAUUCAACAUCUUCAUUGAGGAUCCAAGCCCUUUCUUUCCUUCUGCUUUGUGUUCUCUUUAUGUUGGCUCUUUGUCCCCACAGUCCCAAGAUGACAGCAACGAUUAUUAUAGCAUUAAUAAUUAUUAGUAUUAACAAUUAAUUAUUAAUAAUAUUAAUUAUUACUAUGGUAAUGGCACUUUGCAUGACUUCCUUGGUGUCAUCCAUUGUUUUGAGCCCCUUUUUAUAUUUUCACUCAUUAAAUUAUCAUACACUUCUAUAAGGUUUUCCUCUUUAAAUGUGGGGAAACUGAGGCAGAGAGCUACGCAGUGACUUGUCCAAGUUAUAGAGCCAAUAACGGAUAGAACGGGAGCUGAGCCCAGGCUUAGCCCACAGUCUGGGUUCACCCUCUAAGCUGUGCUGCGGCACCAGGUAUUUACUGUCAGAGCCAAAGCAGGACAAAACGGGCUGGAUGGUGUCAUGUGGCUGCCCUGGGAAAGCAGGCUGGCACAGUGAGUCGCUGGCGGUGGGAGACAGAAGCCCCAGGAUGUCUUCAGACAAACCAUGGUCCCUGCCUGAGAGCUGGGCAGACUGCCACCCCGAACAGAACGUGGGUUCCCAACACAAGGGAGAAGUAGGAAAUCCAGUCAGCCCUGGGGAAUAACACCUCUGCCACCUUAAAUUAAAAAAAAAAAAAUCCAUCCUCUUGCAAAUUAUGGAACAAUUUCCCAGAUAACUUGGGUGGAAGAGCAAAUGAAAAACAAAUGAAAAAUUAUUUAGGAAUCAUUGAGAAUGGAUGAACUAAAGUGGACCCCCACUUUAGGAAAAACCUAAAGAGAAAAAUAACCCAUGGGAGAAAUGGAAGAGGUGACCUGAAGACUUCCCGUGUCAACAGAACAACGAUGAUUGGCAGAGAACAGACCCAGGCCACUUGGCAGGCGCGCUCUAACUCUUUAAGGAGUGGGCGUCACCUGUACUAUAUAAACUGCUCUACAGAAUAAAAAAAGAUGAUUUCCAGCUCCUUUGGUGAAGCUAGCAUAAUCCUGACACCAAAUCCAGACAAGACUAGGACAAAAAAUAUUUUUGGCCACCCCACUUAACAAAAAAUUCCAACUGAAACCUAUGAGAGAAAACGUGGCCGUGUGUUGGAAGACCACAUGUAUCCCGGGAAUGAAAGGAUGGUUCCACUUUGGGGAGUCUCUUCGUGCAGUCCCCAAUCGUAUCUGGUGAAAGAGAAACGUGAUGUGACCAUUCCUUCCCCUGACCUUCCAGGGUCUGCCCUAUAGCUUGCAUUUCCCGGACUUCCCUGCAACCCGGUCCCUGUUUAGUUUCUGCUAACUCACUGGUCUGGGAAACAGGAGAAGCAGCUGGGAGGGGGUGGUCUGGGAUGUGGGACAGGGACAAUGAGCGCCGUUGAGCAGGCCACAGACCGCCUGACCUUGGUGACACCAAUGUAGGGAGACGACAUGAAGGUACCCUGGUAGCUGUGCGAUUCCUAGACUCCACCCCGAGGGGUUCUGCAACAUAGAGCAGAAUUCAAAAUAUUAGGUACCGAGGGUCCCUUCCAAAAGAUAUACCUCCCUCUGUCAGCCAAAGUAAGGGAGAAGCGUAGGAGUUCCUCUUUCAAAGAAUUCUAAUUUAGAUACUGCUUGUAUUUGUGCGUGUGUGCACGCGUGCACAACAGUGUGCAUAUUUUUCUGAACGUUGUUACAAUAAAUUCACGUUUUCAACUUU